This is a non-coding RNA of Heterocephalus glaber (naked mole-rat), 1577 nucleotides long. The record is from RefSeq and is a predicted model, not a curated record. NCBI's taxonomy places the organism in Eukaryota, Metazoa, Chordata, Mammalia, Rodentia, Bathyergidae.
GGGACCCUAUUUGCCCUCCUGGCCUAGCACAAUGACUGCUCCUAGUCUCUUCUAUAACAGUUUCUCAGACUUCUGACAGUUUUGUAAUUUGUAGAAUAUCCUUCAUCGGAUACUUGUCUGAUGUUAUUCUCUUGGUUAGAAUGGGGUAGUGAGUUUGGGGAAGGACCACAGAAGUGAUGUGCCCUUCUUGUCACAUAGCAAGGGCGCACACUGUCAGAGUGACUCAUCAUUGUUGAUGUCACCCUUAGUCUUCUACCUAGGCAGCAUCUGUCAGUUUUUCCAUGGUUAGGUUUACUCCCACAUCCCUCUUUGGAAGCACAGCCCACAGCCAAUGUUUAAGAUGGCUUGUCCCUCAUCACUAAAUUUGGCUGCCUGAGCAUUCAGACAUCUCAAAUAUUAUCCUCAUUAACUGUUCUUCAUUUUUGUCUCCCUCUGGCAAGUUCCCUGUUCUCUUCUUCUUUCUUUUUAAAAUUAAUUUUAUUGGUACAUUUAAGGUAUACAAUAUAAUGACAUUCAUCAUUGGAAAUCUGCACCUUUACAUACUCUCUUCCUAUUUCUAUUCAGUCUCUAGUACUGCUGCAUUUUAUAUGAAUUUGAAAGUGCUACAUAAGAUAUUAGUAAAGUCAACUCCACAUGUAAAAUAUGAAAUAAAUGCCAAUAUUAAAAAAUGUCAAGAAGCCAGGUGAGGUGGCCUGCACCUGUAAUCCCAGCACUCUGCAAAGCUGAGGCUGGAGAAUUGCAAGUUCAAGCCCAGCUCGGGCAAUUUAGCAAGACUCUGUCUCAAAAAAUUUUUAAAAAACUUUUGAAGAGGGCUACGUAUGUAGUUCAGUGUGAGAGCCCUGGGUUUAAUCCUCAAUGUAUGUGGGGGAUGUUGGGGAAUGGGGAUCAGCAAGGAAAAUCUAAAUUGAAAUCUAUUGGGCUGAGGGAACUGUGCCAUUAUCAUAAGGUGGCACCACUAUUACUGAUGAAUCAAAGUAAUCCAGCUAACAUUGUUAUUUUCCUAUUGCUGAUGAGCAAAUUAUCACCCCAUUUAGGAGGGCAAAGUAAGUUUUUUUUCUCAGCAUGAAGGCUAGAAGUUUGAAAUAAUUUUCAUUGGGCAAAAGGUAAGAUGUCAACACACCUUCAAGAGUUUCUAAGGGGAGAACAUUUCCUUGCCUUUCAGCUUCUAGUGGCCAUGUUGCUUAAAUUCCUUGGCUUCCUCCAACCUCAAAGUGCAUCUUCCAAGCUUGGCAUGAUUGCAUAAGCCUAUAGGCCCAGCUACUCAGGAAGCUGAGAAAGACAUCUUGAGCCUAAGAGUUUGGGCCAGCCAAGGAACAUAGUAAAACACCAUUUCAAAAAAGAAAAAAAUCCAACAAAAUAAACAUAGAGCAUCCUCCAAUCUUUUCUUCCAUCAUCACAUUGGUGCCUUCCCUAACUCUUGAUUUCACUUGUGUUUCUCUUAACAAGGUGUGCUGAUACACACCUGCAGUCCCAGUACUGGGGAGGCUGAGGCAGGACUGCUGUGAGCUUAAGGCCAGCCUGAACUGCAUAGUAAGACUGUCUCAAAAAAAAAAAAAAAAGAAAAAAAAUAAAACAAA